CCUGCUAUGACUAUUGGUUCUUAAGAAGAGGGACAAAAAUCUUAAGAAUUCUCUGAAGGACUAGAUCUCUACCGUGACUGAUAGCAGGAACCUCCUGAGCCAUACCAUCAAACUCUUGUACUCAUGAAAAUGGGCUAGUGAUUCUAUAGCUUCAUUUUAUAACCCUGCUUCUUAUCUUACCUCUCCUGGACAUUUCUGAGCAGCAGAGGUUUUGAGUACUCCAUUGAACAACCAAUUCUGAAUCCUGUCAUCAAAUCCUGUGCUGUUGUGCCAAGAGGUGAUAGAUGCAU
Molecule: long non-coding RNA, 290 nt
Filed under: Castor canadensis (American beaver)
Lineage: Eukaryota; Metazoa; Chordata; Mammalia; Rodentia; Castoridae
Description: lncRNA (ENSCCNG00000016434.1)
Source: RNAcentral